GAGUGGCGAACUGGUGAGUAACACGUGGGAAACCUGCCCAGAAGCGGGGGAUAACACCUGGAAACAGAUGCUAAUACCGCAUAACAACUUGGACCGCAUGGUCCGAGUUUGAAAGAUGGCUUCGGCUAUCACUUUUGGAUGGUCCCGCGGCGUAUUAGCUAGAUGGUGGGGUAACGGCUCACCAUGGCAAUGAUACGUAGCCGACCUGAGAGGGUAAUCGGCCACAUUGGGACUGAGACACGGCCCAAACUCCUACGGGAGGCAGCAGUAGGGAAUCUUCCACAAUGGACGAAAGUCUGAUGGAGCAACGCCGCGUGAGUGAAGAAGGGUUUCGGCUCGUAAAACUCUGUUGUUAAAGAAGAACAUAUCUGAGAGUAACUGUUCAGGUAUUGACGGUAUUUAACCAGAAAGCCACGGCUAACUACGUGCCAGCAGCCGCGGUAAUACGUAGGUGGCAAGCGUUGUCCGGAUUUAUUGUGCGUAAAGCGAGCGCAAGCGGUUUUUUAAGUCUGAUGUGAAAGCCUUCGGCUCAACCGAAUAAGUGCAUCGUAAACUGUGAAACUUGAGUGCAGAAUAUGACUGUGUAAUUCCAUGUGUAGCGGUGAAAUGCGUAAAUAUAUGGAAGA
This 626-nucleotide ribosomal RNA is filed under the name Lactiplantibacillus plantarum. Its description in RNAcentral is "bacterial SSU rRNA". It matches the Rfam family "Bacterial small subunit ribosomal RNA", at positions 93 to 705 of the family's 1533-position model. The record is from RNAcentral. Lineage: Bacteria; Bacillati; Bacillota; Bacilli; Lactobacillales; Lactobacillaceae.